GAUGAACGCUGGCGGCGUGCCUAAUACAUGCAAGUAGAACGCUGAAGGAGGAGCUUGCUCUUCUGGAUGAGUUGCGAACGGGUGAGUAACGCGUAGGUAACCUGCCUGGUAGCGGGGGAUAACUAUUGGAAACGAUAGCUAAUACCGCAUGACAACAGUUAUUGCAUGAUAACUGUUUAAAAGUGGCAACUGCUCCACUACCAGAUGGACCUGCGUUGUAUUAGCUAGUUGGUGAGGUAACGGCUCACCAAGGCGACGAUACAUAGCCGACCUGAGAGGGGGAUCGGCCAAACUGGGACGGAGAAACGGCCCAGAAUCCUACGGGAGGCAGCAGUAGGGAAUCUGCGGCAAUGGACGGAAGUCUGACCGAGCAAAGCCGCGUGAGUGAAGAAGGGUUUCGGAUCGUAAAGCUCUGUUGUAAGAGAAGAAAGAGUGUGAGAGUGGAAAGUUCACACUGUGACGGUAUCUUAACAGAAAGGGACGGCUAACUACGUG
This 495-nucleotide ribosomal RNA is filed under the name uncultured bacterium. RNAcentral's name for it is "partial 16S ribosomal RNA". It matches the Rfam family "Bacterial small subunit ribosomal RNA", at positions 28 to 507 of the family's 1533-position model. The record is from RNAcentral.